RNAcentral lists this ribosomal RNA (425 nucleotides) under uncultured bacterium. Its description in RNAcentral is "partial 16S ribosomal RNA". It matches the Rfam family "Bacterial small subunit ribosomal RNA", at positions 354 to 796 of the family's 1533-position model. The record is from RNAcentral.
GUGGGGAAUAUUGGACAAUGGGCGAAAGCCUGAUCCAGCAAUGCCGCGUGAGUGAUGAAGGCCCUAGGGUUGUAAAGCUCUUUUACCCGGGAUGAUAAUGACAGUACCGGGAGAAUAAGCUCCGGCUAACUCCGUGCCAGCAGCCGCGGUAAUACGGAGGGAGCUAGCGUUGUUCGGAAUUACUGGGCGUAAAGCGCGCGUAGGCGGUUUUCCAAGUCAGGGGUGAAAGCCCGGGGCUCAACCCCGGAAUAGCCCUUGAAACUGGAAGACUAGAAUCUUGGAGAGGUCAGUGGAAUUCCGAGUGUAGAGGUGAAAUUCGUAGAUAUUCGGAAGAACACCAGUGGCGAAGGCGACUGACUGGACAAGUAUUGACGCUGAGGUGCGAAAGCGUGGGGAGCAAACAGGAUUAGAAACCCGUGUAGUCC